CUUGGUCAUUUAGAGGAAGUAAAAGUCGUAACAAGGUUUCCGUAGGUGAACCUGCGGAAGGAUCAUUAUCGUACAACCGAGGCACGAAGGCUGUCGCUGACCUUUCAGAAAAAGGUCGUGCACGCUCGAGUGUCCUCGCACAUCCAUCUCACCCUUCUGUGAACCACCGCGUAGGCCCCUCCCCUUCAAAGGGGGGCUUGCGUUUUUACACAAAUACUUUGAUGCAGUCUAGAAUGUAUUAUCUCUUUGCGAUCACACGCAAUCAAUAUAACUUUCAACAACGGAUCUCUUGGCUCUCGCAUCGAUGAAGAACGCAGCGAAAUGCGAUACGUAAUGUGAAUUGCAGAAUUCAGUGAAUCAUCGAAUCUUUGAACGCACCUUGCGCCCCUUGGCAGUCCGAGGGGCACACCCGUUUGAGUGUCGUGAAACCCUCAAAACCCUUUCUUUAGUAGGAAAGGAUUUUGGACUUGGAGGCUUGAUGCUGGCUUUCACUUUUGAAAGUUUGCUCCUCCUAAAUGGAUUAGUAGGUGUCCCAUGUGUUCGAUCCUUGACGUGAUAAUGAUGUUUCUACGUUUUGGGUCUUAUAUAGGACACCCGCUUCUAACCGUCUUAUAGACGACGAUGGUGUUCCGGUCGACUGCCAUUUUGUUGGUGGAAGGCUUGACCCACAAAGAAACCUUUUGACCUCAAAUCGGGUGAGACUACCCGCUGAACUUAAGCAUAUCAUAA
This 729-nucleotide ribosomal RNA is filed under the name Russula sp. Its description in RNAcentral is "eukaryotic LSU rRNA". The stretch from base 270 to 423 matches the Rfam family "5.8S ribosomal RNA". Lineage: Eukaryota; Fungi; Basidiomycota; Agaricomycetes; Russulales; Russulaceae. The record is from RNAcentral.